This is an RNA transcript of Lycium barbarum (goji berry), 909 nucleotides long. RefSeq lists it as uncharacterized. The record is from RefSeq and is a predicted model, not a curated record. NCBI's taxonomy places the organism in Eukaryota, Viridiplantae, Streptophyta, Magnoliopsida, Solanales, Solanaceae. The transcript has 6 exons.
ACUUCACCCACUAAUUUUCACUCUACUAUCACCUUCUCCAUUCCUCAUUCUAAACUCAAUUCUUCUAUGAGAUUUAAUUAAAUUAUAUUUUUAUGUUUUGGGGGAGUAUACCUCUUUCCAGUGAGUUCUUCCCGUACUACCUUUGUUCUUUUUUUGGGAUCUCUUACUUGCUUGUAGCAUGUCAAAUUUGGCCCAAAAGGGUUUCGAAUUUGGACAUUCGACUUACGCAUUGGUACCUGUGUUUUUUGGCUUUUGCAGUUUGUUGUUUCUCGCUUCAGUGGGUUGGUGAUGGACUUAUAGCAGGAUCCUCAGCUUAUGCAGAUGCUGAAGUUGGUGCUUGUGGAGCUACAAGGAAUGGUGGUAUCUUGAUGUGCUUCCAUCCGUGGUGCAUUUCUGUAUCAAAAAUUCUUGUCUAUUGGUUGAUGCAUUUGAAAUUUUCUCGCAAGUAACAAGGUUCUCAUCAUGAGAUCAUAUUAAAUAAACUGGUUUUGCUUAGAAGCUCAAUUGCUUGGGUGUUGAUUUAUUCUACUUUCCACAAAGCAGAGAUAUUCAAAAAAGCUGCCAAAAACGAGGAUGGUGUUGUUAGUUUGGAUGAGUUAGCCACACUUCUAAAUAUACAAGAAGAUUUUCAGCUACAGAGCAGAGCAGCUACUCAUGCUAUAUCCAAACUAGAUUCUUCUCAGAAAUUAAUGCAAAUAGAAUCAAAUAGGCGAAGUGAUCAAUCAAUUUUCCAAUUUCUCAAUCUAUCCGGUAGAAGAUUUACCGUUAUACACUGUAAUGUUAGGUUACCCUAUGGGAGGUGUCAUUUGGUUUAACAUGUACUAGUACAUUCUUAUGGUUUUGCAAAAAUUUUGGAGAAAAAUGGUUACAUCUAUGUUAAAAAUGUAUGUAAUAUUUUUUGUUGUUUGA